This 368-nucleotide unclassified non-coding RNA is filed under the name fungal sp. RNAcentral describes it as "partial internal transcribed spacer region". The stretch from base 1 to 46 matches the Rfam family "Eukaryotic small subunit ribosomal RNA", at positions 1786 to 1831 of the family's 1831-position model. Lineage: Eukaryota; Fungi. The record is from RNAcentral.
AAGUCGUAACAAGGUUUCCGUAGGUGAACCUGCGGAAGGAUCAUUAACACGUAUCCAACGUUAAACCCCCCGUGCACCUUCACAGAGCGCGCCGCUCCUCUCGACAACAGCAAUCCUGGUAAAUCAGUGGGCGAAAAGUCUUUGAUUCAGGACCUCUGAAGUUGUAAGCAGGUGGUUUGAGCCUUCUAUCGCCAGUCUGGAGUCCUGGCCGGGCGGAUGAAAGUGUCGCUAGACGGUUUCUAGGGUAAGGCUUCUCCAUCGCCGGUGCCCCUUUACGACGACCAAGUUAAAUUAGGCCUCUACCACAUAGCAAGUGCGCCGUGGUAGAGGAAAACGUACAACUGUUAACAAUGGAUAUCUUGGUUCUC